This 494-nucleotide ribosomal RNA is filed under the name uncultured bacterium. RNAcentral's name for it is "partial 16S ribosomal RNA". It matches the Rfam family "Bacterial small subunit ribosomal RNA", at positions 28 to 507 of the family's 1533-position model. The record is from RNAcentral.
GACGAACGCUGGCGGCGUGCUUAACACAUGCAAGUCGAACGGAAAGGCCUGCUUUCCCUUGUGGAUUGCGGGUACUCGAGUGGCGAACGGGUGAGUAACACGUGAGUGAUCUGCUCCCAACUUGGGAAUAAGCCUGGGAAACUGGGUCUAAUUCCCGAUAGGACUGCAGGGUGGUGCCUGUGGUGGAAAACGAUUUUCUAGUGGUUGGGGAUGAGCUCGCGGCGUAUCAGCUUGUUGGUGGGGUAAUGGCCUACCAAGGCGGCGACGGGUAGCCGGCCUGGGAGGGGGGACGGUCGCAUUGGGACUGAGAUACGGCCCAGACUCCUACGGGAGGCAGCAGUGGGGAGUAAUGCGCAGUGAGCGGAAGCCUGAUGCAGCGAGGCCGCGUGGGGGAUGACGGGCUUCGGAUGGUAAACUCCUUGCGACCGCGAGGAAGCCACCUGGUUGGAGCGGUGGUGACGGUAGUGGUAGAAGAAGCACCGGCUAACUACGUG